GUCGCUAGUAAAUAUUAUACACCUAUAUACAUUGAAAGGACGUAUUUAACACAUUGUCAAAUCAAUUUACAAAAGAUAUAGCUAUUUUUGGUACCUUUAUUCCCACGACCUACAUUCAAGAUGGAGGAACAAGCUUUGUAUGUAAUAUUUUUCUGUGUUUUAUUUAUGCCCGUUGGAAGUGAGAAUGGGUGGAUUUAUACAAGAUUAAAAAGACAAGUCCGAGAUGACGUAUCAAAUGAAAGAUCAACUACAGUACAACCAGUCAUUAAAAACUCGGGUGAAAUAUCAACAAAUCUAUCAUCUAAUGGCACAAUAUCAGAAGUGGUAGAUAGUGGUUUAAAUACAGGUGUUAUAAAUGGAUCUGUUAUAGCAGCGUUAGUUAUGUUAUUGGUCAUUGUAGCAAUUGUUCUAAGAUGUAGCAAACAUAAAAGAAAGAAGAGACGCGUGAAAAAAACAAGUGAACCGGCGGAGAAAGAAUCAUUGAAUAGUGUUGAAUAAAAUAAACAGAAACUAUUUGAAUACGUUUCGUGUCAAUUGAAGAGGGAUUUCUUUCAAAUGGUUCAAAAGCCCAUCAAGAUUUGAUUUAAAGAGAACUCCCUGAAGCCGAAACUGAUUAAUUAUCUUCGUUGAGAUUAACCCAGAGAAAACAAAAUCAUUGGUAAAACAAAAUAAUACAUCAUUUAAAGGAUGAACCUUUGAACAUUAAGUGAAACAGUUUACACCCAAUAAGGUAAUACUAAGACCGCCAUGGACAACCGACACUGUCAUACCUUCACGCAUCUUCGUGUGUCUACGCAUAGGAAAAGAUAAAGGUUUAUGUGAACACUGAUAUAAUCUACCACCUAUAAAGACCAAGAAGAAAAAAAAAGAUCAUUUGAAUCCUGUAUUAAAUGACCUUCAUUGUUCCGGAUGAAAAUAAAAUGAUAAAUUUUCAAAUACUGGCUAUUCAUAACAUCGCACCUGUUUACCUACUAUAGAACUCUUCGCUCAGGUAAUAAAAACUUGGGACGAAAACAAAUUUAAAAACAUUUGGAUCAGAAGCCCUCGUUUUUGGGAGGACAAAAUGUUACAUGCGUCAAUUUUCUAAAUUUUGUCGGUAAGACGCUGGCUCGCUAGCCUGGAGGUCGGGUGCUCGAUCCCUGCAUUGGCCGAGAAAGUUCAUCCAGAUUUUCCGGCGUGAUUUCCCCUUGUCAGUGAUGCAGGACAGAGGGCCUGACAAGGACAACUGUCUCUAGUCGUUCGGAUGGAACGAAAAACCGAGGUCCCGUGUACAUAUUGGCGUGCACGUAAAAGAUCCCUUGGCAGUUGGAAUUCGAUAUAAGAGUAGGCCGUAGCGCCGCUGCCCUGGCAAAAUUUCCCUCAUAGGACACUGUAUGGCGUAUGCCCGUCUUCAUUAGCCCAGUUUAUUUCACUUCAUUUCAUUUCAUUUCAUUUGAAAUUACCACUUGUAUUUUAUCCCCGCUUCCACCUAAGGUAAUAUCUCAGUUAUUUUCAAAAAAGAAAUUAAUAUCCCAAAAAUCGUUUUGUGUGUUAAAUUCUAAACAUGUGUCAAAUCAGUAUCAAAACUGGGGCUGUCAUCUCCACUAUUUGUUAAGGCCAGCUCACUUUUUGUCAAGGUCGCUCAGAUGUAAAUAAGGUUAGGGCGGCGCGUGAUU
Molecule: long non-coding RNA, 1655 nt
Organism: Patella vulgata (common limpet)
Lineage: Eukaryota; Metazoa; Mollusca; Gastropoda; Patellidae
Exons: 5
Source: RefSeq, a predicted model, not a curated record